UUUUUGUUGUGGGCACGUUUAUAUUUGCCUUCUUCUAUUUCAGCAUUAACAUCUAAACAAUUUUGCAAAAUUUUGCAGUGACGAAGAUAACAACGGCAGAAAGCACUGCCAUGAAAAAGAUGAUGCUGCCAUCUCUUCCUCCUAUCACCGCAAAAUGCCCUCAGGCUGAAGAUGGUACCUACAUCUACUCUCAUGCUCUCUGUCAUCUCAACCCGUUCAUCAAUUGAGCAGUUUUAGUGCUUGGGAUACAAUGGAAGGUCAAAUCAAACGUUAUCUAAAGCCAAAAUAAAGUUAUUGUUAGUAGAACAAGCAAGAAGAAUUUGAUGCAAUGCUACAUCAAGGUCUUGGGAUACAGAUACUAGCUUCUGUUAUUGCUACGAGCCUAUCAAGAAGUUUAUUAUUUUUAAGAGAAAAAUAUAUAGAAUUCUGAUAUGGUUAGUUUAUUAUUUUUUAAAUUAGAUGUGUGGAAAAACUAUUGAUUGAUACUUGGUGAGAUCAUUAACCAGGUGCAAUCCCUCCACCACCAAAUUAAGGUAAAUUACAUAGAUGGUAUUUGUUUUAGAGUUUGCAAAAUCUGACUUUGCAAACAUGGAUAAGGUUGUUUAUCUGUUUUGCCCAACAAAGAGUAAAAUUUUCAAAAUAUUUCCAACCUUACUUUUUCAAAUCUUUCAAAAACUCAAAUAUUAGUCAUUAGUUGCAAUUUAUGUUCCAAAUGAUGGGAGUUAAACUUUAGAAAGAAGGUUGAAUUCUGUGUGUGUAUUCAUGUAGUUCCUCUCAAUGAAGUUAGAUCUUAAUCGAAGAAUGGACUUAAUAUGGAAUGCCUUCUCUCCAAGGAUUUUAAAUUAGAGCAAACUUCUGGUAUUACUCAUGAGCUCUUGGCUUGAGAUAUUCAAACCGCUGGAUCGUCGCAUCAUACCAACAAAAGCAGCUGCAGAGUUUGGAUUUUAGGGUUAUAAAGCAUGUUUAGACUUUAGACUUUAGAGGAAAAUUUAGAUCAUCAAGGUCUAUUGAGAAAAACAACAGUCAAAUUAUACUGAAAAACUCUUAGUACAAACCUUAUUCCUAUUCAACUUGAAACAGUCGUAUAGUAGUGGCAUAAUGACUUAUUGAUGCCUCCUCUACUAUAGCAUUGUAAGCUUCAUCAUCCUUUUUUCGUUUUCGGUUGUAGUCUAUCGUACUAACAUUUCCUUCUUUA
Molecule: long non-coding RNA, 1195 nt
Organism: Nicotiana tabacum (common tobacco)
Lineage: Eukaryota; Viridiplantae; Streptophyta; Magnoliopsida; Solanales; Solanaceae
Source: RefSeq, a predicted model, not a curated record